AAAUUGAAGAGUUUGAUCAUGGCUCAGAUUGAACGCUGGCGGCAGGCCUAACACAUGCAAGUCGAACGGUAACAGAAAGCAGCUUGCUGCUUUGCUGACGAGUGGCGGACGGGUGAGUAAUAUCUGGGAAACUGCCCGAUGGAGGGGGAUAACUACUGGAAACGGUAGCUAAUACCGCAUAACGUCGCAAGACCAAAGAGGGGGACCUUCGGGCCUCUUGCCAUCGGAUGUGCCCAGAUGGGAUUAGCUAGUAGGUGGGGUAAAGGCUCACCUAGGCGACGAUCCCUAGCUGGUCUGAGAGGAUGACCAGCCACACUGGAACUGAGACACGGUCCAGACUCCUACGGGAGGCAGCAGUGGGGAAUAUUGCACAAUGGGCGCAAGCCUGAUGCAGCCAUGCCGCGUGUAUGAAGAAGGCCUUCGGGUUGUAAAGUACUUUCAGCGGGGAGGAAGGGAGUAAAGUUAAUACCUUUGCUCAUUGACGUUACCCGCAGAAGAAGCACCGGCUAACUCCGUGCCAGCAGCCGCGGUAAUACGGAGGGUGCAAGCGUUAAUCGGAAUUACUGGGCGUAAAGCGCACGCAGGCGGUUUGUUAAGUCAGAUGUGAAAUCCCCGGGCUCAACCUGGGAACUGCAUCUGAUACUGGCAAGCUUGAGUCUCGUAGAGGGGGGUAGAAUUCCAGGUGUAGCGGUGAAAUGCGUAGAGAUCUGGAGGAAUACCGGUGGCGAAGGCGGCCCCCUGGACGAAGACUGACGCUCAGGUGCGAAAGCGUGGGGAGCAAACAGGAUUAGAUACCCUGGUAGUCCACGCCGUAAACGAUGUCGACUUGGAGGUUGUGCCCUUGAGGCGUGGCUUCCGGAGCUAACGCGUUAAGUCGACCGCCUGGGGAGUACGGCCGCAAGGUUAAAACUCAAAUGAAUUGACGGGGGCCCGCACAAGCGGUGGAGCAUGUGGUUUAAUUCGAUGCAACGCGAAGAACCUUACCUGGUCUUGACAUCCACGGAAGUUUUCAGAGAUGAGAAUGUGCCUUCGGGAACCGUGAGACAGGUGCUGCAUGGCUGUCGUCAGCUCGUGUUGUGAAAUGUUGGGUUAAGUCCCGCAACGAGCGCAACCCUUAUCCUUUGUUGCCAGCGGUCCGGCCGGGAACUCAAAGGAGACUGCCAGUGAUAAACUGGAGGAAGGUGGGGAUGACGUCAAGUCAUCAUGGCCCUUACGACCAGGGCUACACACGUGCUACAAUGGCGCAUACAAAGAGAAGCGACCUCGCGAGAGCAAGCGGACCUCAUAAAGUGCGUCGUAGUCCGGAUUGGAGUCUGCAACUCGACUCCAUGAAGUCGGAAUCGCUAGUAAUCGUGGAUCAGAAUGCCACGGUGAAUACGUUCCCGGGCCUUGUACACACCGCCCGUCACACCAUGGGAGUGGGUUGCAAAAGAAGUAGGUAGCUUAACCUUCGGGAGGGCGCUUACCACUUUGUGAUUCAUGACUGGGGUGAAGUCGUAACAAGGUAACCGUAGGGGAACCUGCGGUUGGAUCACCUCCUUA
This 1542-nucleotide ribosomal RNA is filed under the name Escherichia coli. Its description in RNAcentral is "16S ribosomal RNA". It matches the Rfam family "Bacterial small subunit ribosomal RNA". RNAcentral also lists the same sequence under 1 other name. Lineage: Bacteria; Pseudomonadati; Pseudomonadota; Gammaproteobacteria; Enterobacterales; Enterobacteriaceae. The record is from RNAcentral.